This 468-nucleotide ribosomal RNA is filed under the name uncultured bacterium. RNAcentral's name for it is "partial 16S ribosomal RNA". It matches the Rfam family "Bacterial small subunit ribosomal RNA", at positions 28 to 507 of the family's 1533-position model. The record is from RNAcentral.
GAUGAACGCUGGCGGCGUGCUUAACACAUGCAAGUCGAACGGAAAGGCCCAAGCUUGCUUGGGUUCUCGAUUGGCGAACGGGUGAGUAACACGUGGGUGAACCGCCCUGCACUUCGUGAUAAGCCUGCGAAACUGGGUCUAUUACCGGAUAGGACCACGUCUUGGAUGUUGUGGUGGAAAGUUUUUUCGGUGUGGGAUUAGCUCGCGGCCUAUCAGCUUGUUGGUGGGGUAAUGGUCUACCAAGGCGUCGACGGGUAGCCGGCCUGAGAGGGUGUACGGCCACAUUGGGACUGAGAGACGGCCCAGACUCCGACGGGGGGCAGCAGUGGGGAAUAUUGCACAAUGGGCGCAAGCCUGAUGCAGCGACGCCGCGUGGGGGAUGACGGCCUUAGGGUUGUAAACUCCUUUCGCUAGGGACGAAGCGUUUUUGUGACGGUACCUGGAGAAGAAGCACCGGCUAACUACGUG